AAGACCCUAGUAAAGUAGAUAUUACACCUCCUUGUCGAGGAGGAGUCGUGGGUUAAACCCCCACGUGUCUUA
This 72-nucleotide transfer RNA is filed under the name Marilyna darwinii (Darwin toadfish). RNAcentral describes it as "tRNA-Asp". It matches the Rfam family "tRNA". From Rfam's summary of the family: Transfer RNA (tRNA) molecules are approximately 80 nucleotides in length. Their secondary structure includes four short double-helical elements and three loops (D, anti-codon, and T loops). The record is from RNAcentral. Lineage: Eukaryota; Metazoa; Chordata; Actinopteri; Tetraodontiformes; Tetraodontidae.